This 253-nucleotide ribosomal RNA is filed under the name uncultured bacterium. RNAcentral describes it as "partial 16S ribosomal RNA". It matches the Rfam family "Bacterial small subunit ribosomal RNA", at positions 524 to 776 of the family's 1533-position model. The record is from RNAcentral.
UACGUAGGGUGCAAGCGUUGUCCGGAAUUAUUGGGCGUAAAGAGCUUGUAGGCGGUUUGUCGCGUCUGCUGUGAAAUUUCGGGGCUCAACCCCGAACUUGCAGUGGGUACGGGCAGACUAGAGUGUGGUAGGGGAGACUGGAAUUCCCGGUGUAGUGGUGAAAUGCGUAGAGAUCGGGAGGAACACCAGAGGCGAAAGCGGUUAACUGGGUCUAAACUGACGCUGAGGCGCGAAGGCUAGGGGAGCAAACAGG